UGAUGGGAAUGAGGUGGGAAUGAGGUGGGAAUGAGGUGGGAAUUCGGGAUAAUGGGGAGCCGGAUUGCUGCGGGGAGACGGGAAUGAGGCGGGAAUUCGGGAUAAAGGGGGGUGAGGAGAGGGAUUGAUGGGAAUGAGGUGGGAAUUCGGGAUAAUGGGGAGCCGGAUUGCUGCGGGGAGACGGGAAUGAGGCGGGAAUUCGGGAUAAAGGGGGGUGAGGAGAGGGAUUGAUGGGAAUGAGGUGGGAAUUCGGGAUAACAGGGGGCUGAGGGGAG
Long non-coding RNA from Corvus hawaiiensis (hawaiian crow), 275 nucleotides. RefSeq lists it as uncharacterized. The transcript has 4 exons. NCBI's taxonomy places the organism in Eukaryota, Metazoa, Chordata, Aves, Passeriformes, Corvidae. The record is from RefSeq and is a predicted model, not a curated record.